UGGGGAAUAUUGCGCAAUGGGCGAAAGCCUGACGCAGCAACGCCGCGUGAGUGAUGAAGGCCUUCGGGUCGUAAAGCUCUGUCGGAGGGAACGAAUGCUCCUGAAGUUAACAGCCUCAGGAGGUGACGGUACCCUCAAAGGAAGCACCGGCUAACUCUGUGCCAGCAGCCGCGGUAAUACAGAGGGUGCAAGCGUUGUUCGGAAUCAUUGGGCGUAAAGGGCGUGUAGGCGGUAUGUUAAGUCAUGUGUGAAAUCCCUCGGCUCAACCGGGGAACGACGCAUGAAACUGGCAAGCUAGAGUACCAAAGAGGGUGGUGGAAUUCCAGGUGUAGCGGUGAAAUGCGUAGAUAUCUGGAGGAACACCGGUGGCGAAGGCGACAUCCUGGACCAAUUCUGACGCUGAGGAGCGAAAGCCAGGGGAGCAAACGGGAUUAGAUACCCCCGUAGUCCCUGAGCGGGCUGGCAAGGCGCAU
Molecule: ribosomal RNA, 473 nt
Filed under: uncultured bacterium
Lineage: Bacteria
Description: bacterial SSU rRNA
Rfam family: Bacterial small subunit ribosomal RNA
Source: RNAcentral